Non-coding RNA from Podarcis muralis (Common wall lizard), 1651 nucleotides. Lineage: Eukaryota; Metazoa; Chordata; Lepidosauria; Squamata; Lacertidae. The record is from RefSeq and is a predicted model, not a curated record.
AAGAUGAUUAGGGAGAGCUAGCCAAUCCAAUUUAAAAUUACCUGCUUGUUGUUGAGCCUGCGGAGUUCGCCAAAGCUGAGCGAGCCCGCUUCUCUCGAUUUGCAGGGUAACUUUUAUUCCCAGGGAAGUUACUGAGGCAACUUCCAAGAGAACAUGUUCAAAGGGCAGACAGACCACCAAGAUGCAUCUCUAAAGCAGCACUUUCUGAGGAAACCGUUUCGGGCUUGAUUUCCCAGUGACAAUAAAUGAGACUGCACGCAAAUACAGAACCAGAGGGAAUAUAACAAAACAGCACAAUUGUCCGCUACUGAGAUAGAGAGAGCAGAAAGUUACAUAGGAAAGCACUUACUUGGUCUUCUGGGGUGAGCACCCGGGGCAGAGAGGCGCCUGGCCGGCCAGUAGCGAUGUAGUCCAGGCUGGGAGGGGAGAAGCGCGUCUCUCUUAUAGACUUCCGAGGGGCUCCUCCGCCUCCUCCUGCUGCUCCUCCUCCUCCUCCUCUCGCAUCGCCCCCUGUCCUCCUUCCUGGCGAGCUCGACCGCUUUCCCCUGCAGGGGGCCGAGGCGCCUUCCGACCGAGAGCGGGGCUGCUGCCUAGCGGCAAAGCAGCGGCCUCACCUUCAUCCUCCUCCACCCGGUCUCUCCUCCCGCUGAGCAGACGCAGCUCUCAUCUGAGCCACAGGAGUUUCUUAGGACACAUGGUCCUGCCUGGCAUCCAUCUUCAAGGUUUGGUCUGACGCCAGCUCCUGAUGAGGAGAAGAGGGCACAUGGGCAUGGGCAGAGUGCAGUGCUUAUCUACAGUCACCGGUCCAACCCAACUGAGCAUAUGGAGUCCUCAUUGGCCUGUUUUGAUAGGGUCUUUUUUCUACCUGCACUUCCAGCCCCUCAUUUAUGCAGAACUUUCAGUUAUGCAGAAGUUUCAUAUACUGAUGGACUCCAAAGGAUUUCCAUUCAGCUCUAAUUUGCGCAGGUUGGUCCAUACACCCAGCACAAACUCCAAGUCCUGCAAAUACCAAAGAAAAGAAAAUCAAUACUUUUGCUAACUUAGCUCAAUGCUGCCACCCUGAUAUCUCUACAGAGAAAGGGAGAGUUAUAAAUAUGUCAACAAGGCAGCUUUCCUUCCCACCAGCUCCCCCUCCAUCGGCAGCUUCACAAGCUUCUUCUGAGAGUCAGGGACUCUCCUGAAUGAGGGCUCCAUGGAACCAUCACAGAGUUUUCUACAAGCAAAUCUAUUUUGUAAAAGGUGAAAGAUUUAUAAAAUCUGAAGAGAAAUCAGAGUAUGCAAAUCUAUUGAGAAUUACCUGGAAACAACCCAAACAAAAUGAAAAUGUUUUAAAGCAAUGUAUAGAGGCAGGGUGGAACGUUGUCCUAUAUAAUUCAUUACUUUAUUGUAGAAAUAUUAAUAAUUGUAGAAAUAUUAAUAAUAAAAUGUAAAGAAAUAUUCCAGAUAUUAUCAAUUGCUAAUCUGAAGCAUAAUCCAGGCAAAGGAAAAAACUGUAAAAAUCAAACUGAUUUCAGUGGGACAGAGUCAAACAUAUGCUUAACUCAUCCAGUAAAAUCACUAGCCAAACUUUGGGUUAAUGUGUUCUCGGAUUAAUGAAAUAUGUGAACAAAAUUAUCAUAUUUGAAAUAAAAUAUUGACUAUAUUCAGCAAG